RNAcentral lists this long non-coding RNA (698 nucleotides) under Equus asinus (donkey). Its description in RNAcentral is "lncRNA (ENSEASG00005029590.1)". Lineage: Eukaryota; Metazoa; Chordata; Mammalia; Perissodactyla; Equidae. The record is from RNAcentral.
GCCAGGGGUGUCCGCCAAUCAGGGUAGCGUGGUGCGUCUCCUGGACCCCGGGUCGCGUUGCACCGCCUUCCGAACCCAACGAGAACUGUUAGGGUCCCAGAAACGGGAUGAAGGAGGAGAGGGAAGAAACCGGAGAGAGGGUUGAUGCUCCGUAUCCAGACGGUUCCAGCCCAGUGGCGGCCCACACACGCCCCGUGGACCCAGGGUGGUCCUCGCCCCGUCCUCGGCGGCUUCCUCCUCCGCAGGCGGGGGGGCUCUGCAUUUUCAUUCUGCACUGGACCCUACAAAUGAAGUAGCUGUUCACGUACACAUCACUUUGAUCAUUUGUGCAGUGUCCACACACCACCGCUUUUUCUCCAGCAUUGAAGUGUACCAUAAAUAAUUAGGAAUGGAACGAAGAACUGACUCCCUGGAACGUCCUGCCUACGCUUCUCCGCCUGCCUCGUGCUUCAGCCCGUGGGACGGCAGAGCAGAUCAAAGCAUCGGUCCAUUUUACGGUCGGGACCAGUGAGGCUCAGCGAGCGAGAAUCCCAGCCAAACCUGCAAAUAACGUUCCUGCAUAAACAUGAAAUACAGGUCGCUGUGUUGAGCGGCGUUUUCCCAGCGCCACUUCUUCUGGGAUCCUGAGGACCUGGUGGGCCGUCGGGGGUCCUUCCAGAGGCCCGCAGAGGGCACGGGCUCCCUCCGCCACGUGGUGC